Molecule: non-coding RNA, 73 nt
Organism: Potamilus streckersoni
Lineage: Eukaryota; Metazoa; Mollusca; Bivalvia; Unionida; Unionidae
Source: the annotation of a GenBank genome assembly
GCUCCAGUGGCCUAGUGGUUAGAGCAUCUGCCUUGGAUGCAGGAGGUCGUGGGUUCAAUUCCCGGUUGAGUCA